Molecule: long non-coding RNA, 395 nt
Organism: Myotis davidii
Lineage: Eukaryota; Metazoa; Chordata; Mammalia; Chiroptera; Vespertilionidae
Exons: 3
Source: RefSeq, a predicted model, not a curated record
GAGCCCCACGAGGCCCUGCCGUACUCGGUGACCGAGAGGACCGUGGACAAGUCCACUGGGGGGGAGGUGAGCGCCGAUGAGGAGGGCUUCGAGAACCUCAACACCAUGGCCUCCACCUUCAUCGUCCUGUUCCUGCUCAGCCUCUUCUACAGCACGACAGUCACCCUGUUCAAGGUGAAGUGACCCGCCGGGCAGGAGCGUGGACAUAAGGAGGGGGAGCCCGCCGCCUUGCACCCCAGCCCGGCCUGCCGCUGGGCCCUUGUACAUAAACCCCCCUUGCAGCUUCCAGCGCAAGGAAGCCACUUCCCUGGACUCCCGCAGCCGAGCGCUCGGCCGGGGUCGCUGUGCAGUGUGUGCCCUGUCGCCUUAAAAUAAAUAUGUAUGUUCUCUUGUGA